AUUGAACGCUGGCGGCAGGCCUAACACAUGCAAGUCGAGCGAGCGGCGGACGGGUGAGUAAUGUCUGGGAAACUGCCUGAUGGAGGGGGAUAACUACUGGAAACGGUAGCUAAUACCGCAUACCAUCAGAUGUGCCCAGAUGGGAUUAGCUAGGUGGUGGGGUAAAGGCCUACCAAGGCGACGAUCCGUCACUGGUCUGAGAGGAUGAUCAGCCACACUGGAACUGAGACACGGUCCAGACUCCUACGGGAGGCAGCAGUGGGGAAUAUUGCACAAUGGGCGCAAGCCUGAUGCAGCCAUGCCGCGUGUGUGAAGAAGGCCUUCGGGUUGUAAAGCACUUUCAGCGGGGAGGCGUUACCCGCAGAAGAAGCACCGGCUAACUCCGUGCCAGCAGCCGCGGUAAUAC
RNAcentral lists this ribosomal RNA (406 nucleotides) under uncultured bacterium. Its description in RNAcentral is "partial 16S ribosomal RNA". It matches the Rfam family "Bacterial small subunit ribosomal RNA", at positions 30 to 526 of the family's 1533-position model. The record is from RNAcentral.